UUAAGUUAUUAAGGGCGCACGGUGGAUGCCUUGGCACUAGAAGCCGAUGAAGGACGUUACUAACGACGAUAUGCUUUGGGGAGCUGUAAGUAAGCUUUGAUCCAGAGAUUUCCGAAUGGGGAAACCCAGCAUGAGUUAUGUCAUGUUAUCGAUAUGUGAAUACAUAGCAUAUCAGAAGGCACACCCGGAGAACUGAAACAUCUUAGUACCCGGAGGAAGAGAAAGAAAAUUCGAUUCCCUUAGUAGCGGCGAGCGAAACGGGAAGAGCCCAAACCAACAAGCUUGCUUGUUGGGGUUGUAGGACACUCUAUACGGAGUUACAAAGGACGACAUUAGACGAAUCAUCUGGAAAGAUGAAUCAAAGAAGGUAAUAAUCCUGUAGUCGAAAAUGUUGUCUCUCUUGAGUGGAUCCUGAGUACGACGGAGCACGUGAAAUUCCGUCGGAAUCUGGGAGGACCAUCUCCUAAGGCUAAAUACUCUCUAGUGACCGAUAGUGAACCAGUACCGUGAGGGAAAGGUGAAAAGCACCCCGGAAGGGGAGUGAAAUAGAACCUGAAACCGUGUGCUUACAAGUAGUCAGAGCCCGUUAAUGGGUGAUGGCGUGCCUUUUGUAGAAUGAACCGGCGAGUUACGAUUUGAUGCAAGGUUAAGCAGUAAAUGUGGAGCCGUAGCGAAAGCGAGUCUGAAUAGGGCGUUUAGUAUUUGGUCGUAGACCCGAAACCAGGUGAUCUACCCUUGGUCAGGUUGAAGUUCAGGUAACACUGAAUGGAGGACCGAACCGACUUACGUUGAAAAGUGAGCGGAUGAACUGAGGGUAGCGGAGAAAUUCCAAUCGAACCUGGAGAUAGCUGGUUCUCUCCGAAAUAGCUUUAGGGCUAGCCUCAAGUGAUGAUUAUUGGAGGUAGAGCACUGUUUGGACGAGGGGCCCCUCUCGGGUUACCGAAUUCAGACAAACUCCGAAUGCCAAUUAAUUUAACUUGGGAGUCAGAACAUGGGUGAUAAGGUCCGUGUUCGAAAGGGAAACAGCCCAGACCACCAGCUAAGGUCCCAAAAUAUAUGUUAAGUGGAAAAGGAUGUGGCGUUGCCCAGACAACUAGGAUGUUGGCUUAGAAGCAGCCAUCAUUUAAAGAGUGCGUAAUAGCUCACUAGUCGAGUGACACUGCGCCGAAAAUGUACCGGGGCUAAACAUAUUACCGAAGCUGUGGAUUGUCCUUUGGACAAUGGUAGGAGAGCGUUCUAAGGGCGUUGAAGCAUGAUCGUAAGGACAUGUGGAGCGCUUAGAAGUGAGAAUGCCGGUGUGAGUAGCGAAAGACGGGUGAGAAUCCCGUCCACCGAUUGACUAAGGUUUCCAGAGGAAGGCUCGUCCGCUCUGGGUUAGUCGGGUCCUAAGCUGAGGCCGACAGGCGUAGGCGAUGGAUAACAGGUUGAUAUUCCUGUACCACCUAUAAUCGUUUUAAUCGAUGGGGGGACGCAGUAGGAUAGGCGAAGCGUGCGAUUGGAUUGCACGUCUAAGCAGUAAGGCUGAGUAUUAGGCAAAUCCGGUACUCGUUAAGGCUGAGCUGUGAUGGGGAGAAGACAUUGAGUCUUCGAGUCGUUGAUUUCACACUGCCGAGAAAAGCCUCUAGAUAGAAAAUAGGUGCCCGUACCGCAAACCGACACAGGUAGUCAAGAUGAGAAUUCUAAGGUGAGCGAGCGAACUCUCGUUAAGGAACUCGGCAAAAUGACCCCGUAACUUCGGGAGAAGGGGUGCUCUUUAGGGUUAACGCCCAGAAGAGCCGCAGUGAAUAGGCCCAAGCGACUGUUUAUCAAAAACACAGGUCUCUGCUAAACCGUAAGGUGAUGUAUAGGGGCUGACGCCUGCCCGGUGCUGGAAGGUUAAGAGGAGUGGUUAGCUUCUGCGAAGCUACGAAUCGAAGCCCCAGUAAACGGCGGCCGUAACUAUAACGGUCCUAAGGUAGCGAAAUUCCUUGUCGGGUAAGUUCCGACCCGCACGAAAGGCGUAACGAUUUGGGCACUGUCUCAACGAGAGACUCGGUGAAAUCAUAGUACCUGUGAAGAUGCAGGUUACCCGCGACAGGACGGAAAGACCCCGUGGAGCUUUACUGUAGCCUGAUAUUGAAAUUCGGCACAGCUUGUACAGGAUAGGUAGGAGCCUUUGAAACGUGAGCGCUAGCUUACGUGGAGGCGCUGGUGGGAUACUACCCUAGCUGUGUUGGCUUUCUAACCCGCACCACUUAUCGUGGUGGGAGACAGUGUCAAGCGGGCAGUUUGACUGGGGCGGUCGCCUCCUAAAAGGUAACGGAGGCGCUCAAAGGUUCCCUCAGAAUGGUUGGAAAUCAUUCAUAGAGUGUAAAGGCAUAAGGGAGCUUGACUGCGAGACCUACAAGUCGAGCAGGGUCGAAAGACGGACUUAGUGAUCCGGUGGUUCCGCAUGGAAGGGCCAUCGCUCAACGGAUAAAAGCUACCCCGGGGAUAACAGGCUUAUCUCCCCCAAGAGUUCACAUCGACGGGGAGGUUUGGCACCUCGAUGUCGGCUCAUCGCAUCCUGGGGCUGUAGUCGGUCCCAAGGGUUGGGCUGUUCGCCCAUUAAAGCGGUACGCGAGCUGGGUUCAGAACGUCGUGAGACAGUUCGGUCUCUAUCCGUCGUGGGCGUAGGAAAUUUGAGAGGAGCUGUCCUUAGUACGAGAGGACCGGGAUGGACAUACCUCUGGUGUACCAGUUGUCGUGCCAACGGCAUAGCUGGGUAGCUAUGUGUGGACGGGAUAAGUGCUGAAAGCAUCUAAGCAUGAAGCCCCCCUCAAGAUGAGAUUUCCCAACUUCGGUUAUAAGAUCCCUCAAAGAUGAUGAGGUUAAUAGGUUCGAGGUGGAAGCAUGGUGACAUGUGGAGCUGACGAAUACUAAUCGAUCGAAGACUUAAUCAA
Molecule: ribosomal RNA, 2921 nt
Filed under: Staphylococcus aureus M0415
Lineage: Bacteria; Bacillati; Bacillota; Bacilli; Caryophanales; Staphylococcaceae
Description: bacterial LSU rRNA
Rfam family: Bacterial large subunit ribosomal RNA
Source: RNAcentral